GUCCUUGCCGUAAACGAUGUAUACUUGAUGUAAUUGGACUCAACCCCGAUUGUGUCGAAGCUAACGCGAUAAGUAUACCGCCUGAGGAGUACACUCGCAAGGGUGAAACUCAAAAGAAUUGACGGGGGCCCGCACAAGCAGUGGAGCAUGUGGUUUAAUUCGAUGCUACGCGAAGAACCUUACCCAGGCUCGAAAUACAGGAGACAACCUUUGAAAGAAGGCUUCUCGCAAGAGCUGCUGUAUAGGUGCUGCAUGGCUGUCGU
RNAcentral lists this ribosomal RNA (263 nucleotides) under uncultured bacterium. RNAcentral describes it as "partial 16S ribosomal RNA". It matches the Rfam family "Bacterial small subunit ribosomal RNA", at positions 793 to 1055 of the family's 1533-position model. The record is from RNAcentral.